GGCGGGUUAGUGUAGUGGUAACACUCCGGUCUCCUUAGCCGGCACAGGCAGUUCGAUUCUGUCACCCGCACCCA
This 74-nucleotide transfer RNA is filed under the name Caudoviricetes sp. RNAcentral describes it as "tRNA-Arg". It matches the Rfam family "tRNA". Rfam says of the family: Transfer RNA (tRNA) molecules are approximately 80 nucleotides in length. Their secondary structure includes four short double-helical elements and three loops (D, anti-codon, and T loops). Further hydrogen bonds mediate the characteristic L-shaped molecular structure. tRNAs have two regions of fundamental functional importance: the anti-codon, which is responsible for specific mRNA codon recognition, and the 3' end, to which the tRNAs corresponding amino acid is attached (by aminoacyl-tRNA synthetases). tRNAs cope with the degeneracy of the genetic code in two manners: having more than one tRNA (with a specific anti-codon) for a particular amino acid; and 'wobble' base-pairing, i.e. permitting non-standard base-pairing at the 3rd anti-codon position. Lineage: Duplodnaviria; Heunggongvirae; Uroviricota; Caudoviricetes. The record is from RNAcentral.